CAGCAGGUAACCUUGGUCGUCCCACCCACAAGAGUGCCUAUGCAACAACACAUUGACCAAGAGAAUAAGUGCCACUGGAAGACUUCUCUGCUCUCCUGCGUCCUUCCCUCACUCAGCUGAAAAAUGGAACAGCCCAAAUUUUAUUGAAUUUGGCAACAGCACGAAAUCGUCCUGGACUUCAUUCUAAAAGAAACUUCUUUCUACUGGUCUUUGCGUAUGUUUUGUAGUAUUUUUACGGCUUAGAUGAAUUCCUCAUCAUCUUCCUCAAGGCAUGAGACUGACUGUUACUAUGAGCAUAUUUUCUCAAGUAGCAAUUUUACUUUUUGGAAUACUUAGGUGUGAAUUUCAG
Stegodyphus dumicola is the source of this 349-nucleotide long non-coding RNA. The record is from RefSeq and is a predicted model, not a curated record. NCBI's taxonomy places the organism in Eukaryota, Metazoa, Arthropoda, Arachnida, Araneae, Eresidae.